UACGGAGGAUGCAAGCGUUAUCCGGAAUGAUUGGGCGUAAAGCGUCCGCAGGUGGCAAUGUAAGUCUGCUGUUAAAGAGUCUAGCUCAACUAGAUACAAGCAGUGGAAACUACAUAGCUAGAGUACGUUCGGGGCAGAGGGAAUUCCUGGUGUAGCGGUGAAAUGCGUAGAGAUCAGGAAGAACACCGGUGGCGAAGGCGCUCUGCUAGGCCGUAACUGACACUGAGGAGCGAAAGCGUGGGGAGCGAACAGG
Molecule: ribosomal RNA, 253 nt
Filed under: uncultured bacterium
Lineage: Bacteria
Description: partial 16S ribosomal RNA
Rfam family: Bacterial small subunit ribosomal RNA
Source: RNAcentral